Molecule: ribosomal RNA, 450 nt
Filed under: uncultured bacterium
Lineage: Bacteria
Description: partial 16S ribosomal RNA
Rfam family: Bacterial small subunit ribosomal RNA
Source: RNAcentral
GUGGGGAAUAUUGGACAAUGGGGGGAACCCUGAUCCAGCCAUGCCGCGUGUGUGAAGAAGGUCUUCGGAUUGUAAAGCACUUUAAGUUGGGAGGAAGGGCAGUAAGUUAAUACCUUGCUGUUUUGACGUUACCGACAGAAUAAGCACCGGCUAACUUCGUGCCAGCAGCCGCGGUAAUACGAAGGGUGCAAGCGUUAAUCGGAAUUACUGUGCGUAAAGCGCGCGUAGGUGGUUCAGCAAGGUGGAGGUGAAAUCCCCGGGCUCAACCUGGGAACUGCCUCCAAAACUACUGAGCUAGAGUACGGUAGAGGGUAGUGGAAUUUCCUGUGUAGCGGUGAAAUGCGUAGAUAUAGGAAGGAACACCAGUGGCGAAGGCGACUACCUGGACUGAUACUGACACUGAGGUGCGAAAGCGUGGGGAGCAAACAGGAUUAGAAACCCGUGUAGUCC